This 253-nucleotide ribosomal RNA is filed under the name uncultured bacterium. RNAcentral's name for it is "partial 16S ribosomal RNA". It matches the Rfam family "Bacterial small subunit ribosomal RNA", at positions 524 to 776 of the family's 1533-position model. The record is from RNAcentral.
UACGGGGGGGGCAAGCGUUGUUCGGAAUUACUGGGCGUAAAGGGCUCGUAGGUGGCCAACUAAGUCGGACGUGAAAUCCCUCGGCUUAACCGGGGAACUGCGUCCGAUACUGGUUGGCUUGAGUUUGGGAGAGGGAUGCGGAAUUCCAGGUGUAGCGGUGAAAUGCGUAGAUAUCUGGAGGAACACCGGUGGCGAAGGCGGCAUCCUGGACCAACACUGACGCUGAGGAGCGAAAGCCAGGGGAGCGAACGGG